RNAcentral lists this non-coding RNA (110 nucleotides) under Shewanella denitrificans. RNAcentral's name for it is "TPP sequence". It matches the Rfam family "TPP riboswitch aptamer (THI element)". Rfam says of the family: Vitamin B(1) in its active form thiamin pyrophosphate (TPP) is an essential coenzyme that is synthesised by coupling of pyrimidine and thiazole moieties in bacteria. The previously detected thiamin-regulatory element, thi box was extended, resulting in a new, highly conserved RNA secondary structure, the THI element, which is widely distributed in eubacteria and also occurs in some archaea. The record is from RNAcentral. RNAcentral also lists the same sequence under 1 other name. Lineage: Bacteria; Pseudomonadati; Pseudomonadota; Gammaproteobacteria; Alteromonadales; Shewanellaceae.
CCUCGCGCCAAGGGGUGUUAGGGCUAGUUGCUCUGACUGAGAUAUCGUUUGAUAAACCCUUAGAACCUGAUCCGGCUAAUACCGGCGUAGGAAUGGGCUUAUUAUUCGCG